AAUGCAGAGACCAUGGACUGAUAUGCCCAGGCCCCUGCUGCUCCAGCAAGCAACUGCAAACAGCUCUAGAAAUGCUGUAACCCUGCUGUCCUGACUGGCCCCCAGUGAAUGAGCAGGAUGAGUUGGUGAUGGCUCCAAACUUUGCCAUUGAGUGUUCAGAUCUGCACUUUAGGGAGUUUGAAUAGACACAACAGCAUCUGUUGGCAGCAUCUCAAAGCACCUAUAAGACAGUUGGGGAAGAACAUCUGGAAGACAGUUAAGGAACAGCAAGUGAGAAGCAGAGAGAAGCGAAUAGGUGGAAGCCACAGUUGGCAGAAGCCCUAAGGUCUGGUGGUGUGUUUGAAAGAAAUGAAGCCCAGGUGGUGGCUGAAUCGGCGGAGGUGCCUCUGUCCAGAGAAGCCACGAGAGCCAGGAGGCAUUUCCUGAGUAGAGGAAAACAGCUACACACACGAAGGACCCGGAAUAUUGAACCCCAAGGUUCGACAGACUGAGGACAGAGGAUAGCCAAUUAAAAUGAUCGAUUCCCAAGUGAUUCUUACAUGACAGUAUAAUCUUUAAAAACAUAGCAAGCUAUUUUAGAAGCAGGACCACACAAUAAUUUGUUAAAACUGAAGUUUUGUGAAAGUAAGAGUUUCAAUAAACUUGAUUAAAAUCAAGGUCCAUUUCUCAUCCACAUUGAGUUUCUCAGCCAAAUCGAAAAUGAGCAAUGUAAAUACUAGUUAUUUUAUAACUUGUAGAUUUGGAGAGAUCCCAAUUUUUAUAAUUUUUG
This 769-nucleotide long non-coding RNA is filed under the name Homo sapiens (human). Its description in RNAcentral is "HSALNT0121744". The record is from RNAcentral. Lineage: Eukaryota; Metazoa; Chordata; Mammalia; Primates; Hominidae.